CACAUAUCUUUAUUUAUAGCACCAAUCUUCUCUUUCACUUUUCUUACACCAAAAUACCUCUUCCUCAAUACUUUUCAUAAAGACCAUGUUUGAAUCCCGUUUGCGUUUGCAUUUUCUCUCGCUAAUCUUGCUCUGUUGUGUCUCCCCUUCAACGAGCUUCUACACUUUCACAUACGAUGAUAGUAUCUAUGUUGCUUGUCAUCCCAAUCAGACUCAAGCUCUUACUGAGUUCAUGAACGAGUUUGAUAGCAGCCACUGCAACCUCAGUGAUCCCAAUAAUGGAGUCUGGUGCGAUAAAUCGACCGGUGCGGUCACAAUGCUACGACUCCAGACCUGCCUCAGUGGAACGCUAAAGCCCAAUAUAUAGUAGCCUAUUCAGAUUACAACAUCUUCGUCACCUUGUCCUCGAUCAAAACAACUUCAUCUCGUCUUCACUUCCUUCUGAAUUUGGCAAUCUCAACAGGUUAGAGGUCAUAUAUCUUUCCAAUAAUAGCUUUGUAGGCCAAGUUCCUUCCUCAUUUAAUAACCUAAGCCUUCUUUCCUAUUUAUCUCUUUCCCUAAACGAGCUCACUGGUAGUUUCCCACUUGUAAGGAUUCUAACGAAGCUCUCGUUUUUAGACCUUUCUAAUAAUCAUUUCUCUGGAAGUCUGAAUCCCAAGAGUACUAGCCUGUUUGAGUUGCACCACCUCCGUUACCUUGAUCUAAGUCAAAACAACUUCACCUCAUCACUCCCUUCUGAAUUUGGAAAUCUCAACAGGUUAGAGGUCUUGUAUCUUCACUCCAAUGACUUUUACGGGCAAGUUCUUCCCACAAUUAGUAACCUAACCUCGUUAACCGAUUUGUACCUUGACCACAACCAGCUCACUGGUAGUUUCCCACUUGUACGGAAUCUAACAAAGCUCUCGUUUUUAGACCUUUCUCAUAAUCAUUUCUCUGGAACUCUGAAUCCCAACAAUACUAGCCUGUUUGAGUUGCACCACCUCAGUUACCUUGAUCUAGGUUCCAACAACUUCAGGUCAUCACUCCCUUCUGAAUUUGGAAAUCUCAACAAACUUGAGUUCUUGGAUCUUGCCUUUAAUGACUUUUUCGGGCUAGUUCCUCCCACAAUUAGUAACCUAACCUCGUUAACCGAAUUGUACCUUGACGACAACCAGCUCACUGGUAGUUUUCCACUUGUGGAAAAUCUAACCAUGCUCUCUGUUCUAAAUCUUGAUGAUAACUACUUCUCUGGAACCAUUCCUUCUUCUGUAGUCAAUAUGCCUAUCUUAUCAGAUCUCCGUCUGUAUGGAAACAAUCUCACCGGAUCUAUUAAAUUUCCUAACACCUCUACCCCAUCUAGGCUCAAGUCCAUGUACCUUGGGCGCAACCAUUUUGAAGGAAAAAUCAUAGAGCCUAUCUCAAAGCUCAUCAACCUCAAGGUUCUUGACCUUUCUUUCCUCAACACAAGUUACCCAAUUGAUAUAAGCCUCUUUUCCUCGCUAAAAUCUUUGGUGCACCUUGAUCUUUCCGGUAAUAGCAUACCUUCGGACAGUUUAGGUUCAAAGUCAGACAUCCCAACAGACUUGGAGAUCUUGCUCUUAUCAGACUGUGGCAUCACCGAGUUCCCAAAUGCCUUAAAGAACCUUGAGAAGUUGGAUUUUAUAGCAUUGUCCGACAAUAGAAUCAAAGGGAAAAUCCCCGAGUGGUUGUGGAACCUUCCUCAUCUAAACACAGUGUUUAUUUCAGAUAAUUUGUUUGAUGGUUUCGAAGGUCCAGUUGAUGUUUUAGUAAAUUCAUCGGUGAAGAAUUUAUUUAUGGAGAAAAACUAUUUUGAAGGAGCAAUUCCUAUUCUACCACUCUCUAUCAACUUUUUCUCUGCUUCAGACAACAGAUUCACAGGGAGCAUACCUCUUUCACUUUGCAAUUAUAGGUCUCUGACGCUCUUGAAGCUAUCUAACAACAACCUAACUGGUCCAAUUCCGCAAUGCUUGAGUCAAAGCUUGACGUUUGUGAAUCUUAGGAAGAAAAAUUUGGAAGGAAGUAUUCCUGACACGUUUUAUAUGGGUGCUUCUCUACGGUCUCUUGACGUUGGACACAAUCUACUCGCCGGGAAACUUCCAAGAUCUCUUCAAAACUGCUCAUCUCUAGAGUUUCUAGUUGUUGACCACAACAAAAUCAAAGACAAGUUUCCUUUUUGGCUCAAGGCUUUACCGAAUUUGCAAGUCCUUAUCCUCAGUUCAAACAAGUUCUAUGGCUCUAUAUCUCCCCCUGAUCAAGGUCCUCUCAGGUUUCCAGAGCUGCAAAUAUUUGAGAUAUCUGAUAAUAAGUUUUCUGGAAGCUUGCCACCAAGAUAUUUUGUCAACUGGAAAGCACCAACACUUACAAUGAAUGAAGAUGGUGAUAUAUAUAUGCAACACGGAGAAUUUAUACAUGGGGAAUUCAGCGCUGCCAUUAUGGAGGCUAUAGAUUUGCGAUACAAAGGUCUAACUAUGGAGCAACAGGGGGUCCUUACCUCAUACGCCACUAUUGAUUUUUCUGGGAAUAGAAUUGAAGGACAGAUUCCUGAAUCCAUUGGUCUUCUGAAAGCAUUGAUUUCACUCAACUUAUCAAACAACGCCUUCACUGGCCGUAUUCCUCUCUCUCUCUCCAAUCUUGGCAAGCUCGAGUCACUUGACCUAUCAAGCAACCAACUCUCAGGGACUAUUCCUAAUGGAAUCGGGAGCCUCUCUUUUUUGGAGUACAUAAAUGUGUCUCACAACCAACUCAAGGGUGAAAUACCACAAGGAACACAGAUUACUGGCCAACCUAAAUCUUCAUUUGAAGGAAAUGCAGGGCUUUGUGGUCUUCCUCUCCAGGAAACUUGCUUUGGGACUAAUAAUGUACCACCUACACAACAACCUAAAGAAGAUGAAGAAGAGGAAGAAGUGUUGAACUGGAAAGCUGUAGAUAUUGGAUAUGGCCUUGGAGUGUUGCUUGGACUGGCAAUAGCACAGCUCGUUGCUUCAUACAAACCGGAGUGGCUCCUCAAGAUAGUUGGUCCCAGUAAGCGCAGAAGCAGUAUGAGUGUAAUCCUUGAAUGUAUGUCUUAGUUUUAAAUGCUCAUGUAUGCAAGCAUUUCCUUAUGUUUGUUGUAUCAUUAUCUGAUGUUUUGUUCUAUUUAUCCUUUCUGUAAAGAAUCCGAAGUCUUUCAGUCGUUAA
Brassica rapa (field mustard) is the source of this 3177-nucleotide RNA transcript. It is a transcript of the gene named receptor-like protein 40, with no coding region annotated. NCBI's taxonomy places the organism in Eukaryota, Viridiplantae, Streptophyta, Magnoliopsida, Brassicales, Brassicaceae. The record is from RefSeq and is a predicted model, not a curated record.